GGGCGCCGAACAGGGACCUGGAAACGAGGGACUCCAGUGAGAAGAGGACGCCAAAGGACGGUCGACCGCUAACAAGGACAAAAUAAAUUAAACUCUUCCGAUCACCGCGGAACCUGCCGCAUCUGAAUCGAAGGUAAGUGGCGCGUCCGAAAUGGGACAAGAAUUAAGUCAGCAUCAGAUCUAUGUAGGACAAUUAAAAGAGGCUUUAAAGAUAUGAGGAGUAAAGGUUAAAGGUAAUGAUUUGUUUAAGUUUUUUGAUUUUGUAAAAGACACUUGCCCUG
Non-coding RNA from Papio anubis (olive baboon), 281 nucleotides. Lineage: Eukaryota; Metazoa; Chordata; Mammalia; Primates; Cercopithecidae. The record is from Rfam.